UGGAGCGGCGCGCUCAUUAUGUCCGCAAACACCGAAUGCACUUCCAGAGGAAAAAUAACCAGUCCAAAUUAAAUUACACUAAAACGGCCCGCUUCUUUAAAGCUCAGAAGAAACUGGCCGAUUUGACGGGAUUUUAGAAAAAAAAAAAUAGACCUAUGAAAAAAUGACUUCGGAGGAAUGUUUCUCUAAACAGUCGGAAAAAAAAUCAAUUUAUAAAACAGACUGAUUGUGGUCAAUUGGUGCCCUCCAAAAUAGUGGAAAAUGCGUGAGUGUUUAUUUUUACUUUGUUACACCUUUGGAAGUUUAGUAAAAGGCGACAACCACCCCCCACAAAAAAAAAAAAAAAAAAAUAGAAAGGGAAAAGGUCCUGCAAUUGAACUGCCAGAGAACUUCGACAUGCCAUCGAGCUGUCCAGAGUGUGCCAUUCUUCAGCGAACAUGAUGGUCAUCAGGAAGAGAACAGAAAUUUUCUGACACCUGUCAAAAAUUAACAGGACGUUUUGAGAAGUGGCUACAUUUGGAAGCCGGUUGAAAGAAUGCCGAAAGUCUACAAUGCCAUCAUCAAAGCAAAAGGGAGCUAUUCGGAGAAGUCCUACAUUUGAGGAAAUUUUGAGAUGUUGAACACCUCUUGGUUGAUGCAGUAUUUGACAUGUAUUACUU
Long non-coding RNA from Paramormyrops kingsleyae, 659 nucleotides. RefSeq lists it as uncharacterized. NCBI's taxonomy places the organism in Eukaryota, Metazoa, Chordata, Actinopteri, Osteoglossiformes, Mormyridae. The record is from RefSeq and is a predicted model, not a curated record.